GACGAACCGUGCAAACGUUAUUCGGAAUCACUGGGCUUAAAGGGCGCGUAGGCGGGCCGCCAGGUCCGGGGUGAAAGCCUCCAGCUCAACUGGAGAAGUGCCUUGGAUACCGGCGGCCUCGAGGGAGGCAGGGGCGUGCGGAACUUCGGGUGGAGCGGUGAAAUUCGUAGAUAUUAGGAAGAACACCGGUGGCGAAGGCGGCCCACUGGUCCGGUACUGACGCUGAGGUGCGAAAGCGUGGGGAGCAAACAGG
RNAcentral lists this ribosomal RNA (253 nucleotides) under uncultured bacterium. RNAcentral's name for it is "partial 16S ribosomal RNA". It matches the Rfam family "Bacterial small subunit ribosomal RNA", at positions 524 to 776 of the family's 1533-position model. The record is from RNAcentral.